AGGGAAUAUUGCGCAAUGGACGAAAGUCUGACGCAGCCACGCCGCGUGAGUGAGGAAGGCCUUCGGGUUGUAAAGCUCUGUCGCCUGGGAAAAACGGCUAUCCGGGGAAAGUUCGGGUAGCGUGAUGGUACCAGGAAAGGAAGCACCGGCAAACUCUGUGCCAGCAGCCGCGGUAAUACAGAGGGUGCAAGCGUUGUUCGGAAUUACUGGGCGUAAAGCGUGCGUAGUCGGUAUUGAGAGUCACGGGUGAAAUCCCAAGGCUUAACCUUGGAACUGCCUGUGAGACCUCAGUACUAGAGUGUGAGAGGGGAUAGUGGAAUACCCAGUGUAGCGGUGAAAUGCGUAGAGAUUGGGUGGAACACCGGUGGCGAAGGCGGCUAUCUGGCUCACAACUGACGAUCAGGCACGAAAGCGUGGGGAGCAAAC
RNAcentral lists this ribosomal RNA (426 nucleotides) under uncultured bacterium. RNAcentral's name for it is "bacterial SSU rRNA". It matches the Rfam family "Bacterial small subunit ribosomal RNA", at positions 356 to 773 of the family's 1533-position model. The record is from RNAcentral.